RNAcentral lists this ribosomal RNA (422 nucleotides) under uncultured bacterium. RNAcentral describes it as "bacterial SSU rRNA". It matches the Rfam family "Bacterial small subunit ribosomal RNA", at positions 354 to 774 of the family's 1533-position model. The record is from RNAcentral.
GUAAGGAAUAUUGGUCAAUGGACGCAAGUCUGAACCAGCCAUGCCGCGUGAAGGAUGAAGGUCCUCUGGAUUGUAAACUUCUUUUAUCUGGGACGAAAACGGGAUUUUUAUCUCAAUUGACGGUACCAGAGGAAUAAGCACCGGCUAACUCCGUGCCAGCAGCCGCGGUAAUACGGAGGGUGCGAGCGUUAUCCGGAUUUACUGGGUUUAAAGGGUGCGUAGGUGGGCUUAUAAGUCAGUGGUGAAAUCUCCGAGCUUAACUUGGAAACUGCCGGUGAUACUAUAGGUCUUGAAUUAUCUGGAGGUAAGCGGAAUAUGUCAUGUAGCGGUGAAAUGCUUAGAUAUGACAUAGAACACCAAUUGCGAAGGCAGCUUACUACAUAUAAAUUGACGCUGAGGCACGAAAGCGUGGGGAUCAAACA